Long non-coding RNA from Amphimedon queenslandica, 589 nucleotides. RefSeq lists it as uncharacterized. Lineage: Eukaryota; Metazoa; Porifera; Demospongiae; Haplosclerida; Niphatidae. The transcript has 2 exons. The record is from RefSeq and is a predicted model, not a curated record.
AUUGAAAAGGGCGUGGUUUGUUUUGUCACGCCCCUAUUUUUAUUUUCCAUUUUCAGCAAGAAAGAAAAAAUGGUUUGAUUAACUUGUAUCGCUAUCCCACUGGCCGUCAUGCUCUGGAAGGGGCUGAUGAUGCUGGUGGAUUGGUGUAGGGGGAAGAAGAGGGGAGAGGAAAAGAAGGAGAAGGUAGAGGGCAAAGAGGUCGGCCCAGGAGAUGAAAUAAAAGAGCUACCUUCUCUAGAAGAGAAAGAAGGACUUAGACAACGUCAAGUUCAAGAGGUUGAUGAUGAUUGUUCGACCUGACAGUAAAGAACCUCUCCGUACCACUACCACCUGAUAUAUAUAUACACAGACAUACAGUGACUGUAUUGAUGACGAGUGUAGCUAAAACCAGUUCUAAUAUACUGGAGGCUAUCCUCUGAUGAACUGUGUCUUUAUAUCAGAUAUUUAUAUUGUGUAUCUACAUGUAUGUGGCCAUCUUGUUUAGUUGUUCAAUAAUAAUUAUGAAAGUGAAGUUAUCAUAACUAUGUGUGACUAAUAUGUGCUUUCUCUCUAAUAAAAAGCCAGGCACCACUUUUGUCUUUGAUUAUAA